ACCCGUCUCUUAAUUUUUAAC
RNAcentral lists this microRNA (21 nucleotides) under Brassica rapa (field mustard). RNAcentral's name for it is "bra-miR9563a-5p". Lineage: Eukaryota; Viridiplantae; Streptophyta; Magnoliopsida; Brassicales; Brassicaceae. The record is from miRBase by way of RNAcentral.